This 433-nucleotide ribosomal RNA is filed under the name uncultured bacterium. RNAcentral's name for it is "partial 16S ribosomal RNA". It matches the Rfam family "Bacterial small subunit ribosomal RNA", at positions 29 to 507 of the family's 1533-position model. The record is from RNAcentral.
AACGAACGCUGGCGGCAUGCCUAACACAUGCCAGUCGAUCGAGACCUUCGGGUCUAGUGGCGCACGGGUGCGUAACGCGUGGGAACCUGCCCUUAGGUUCGGAAUAACUCCCCGAAAGGGGUGCUAAUACCGGAUAAUGUCUUCGGACCAAAGAUUUAUCGCCUUUGGAUGGGCCCGCGUUGGAUUAGCUAGUUGGUAGGGUAAAAGCCUACCAAGGCGACGAUCCAUAGCUGGUCUGAGAGGAUGAUCAGCCACACUGGGACUGAGACACGGCCCAGACUCCUACGGGAGGCAGCAGUGGGGAAUAUUGGACAAUGGGCGAAAGCCUGAUCCAGCAAUGCCGCGUGAGUGAUGAAGGCCUUAGGGUUGUAAAGCUCUUUUACCCGGGAUGAUAAUGACAGUACCGGAAGAAUAAGCUCCGGCUAACUCCGUG